ACGGAAGGCAGCAGUGGGGGAUAUUGCGCAAUGGGGGGAACCCUGACGCAGCAACGCCGCGUGAAGGAAGAAGGCCUUCGGGUUGUAAACUUUUGUCGCAAGGGAAGAAGACAGUGACGGUACCUUGUGAGGAAGCCACGGCUAACUACGUGCCAGCAGCCGCGGUAAUACGUAGGUGGCGAGCGUUGUCCGGGUUUACUGGGUGUAAAGGGCGCGUAGGCGGGCAUGCAAGUCAGAUGUGAAAUACCGGGGCUUAACUCCGGGGCUGCAUCUGAAACUGCAAGUCUUGAGUGUCGGAGAAGAAAGCGGAAUUCCUAGUGUAGCGGUGAAAUGCGUAGAUAUUAGGAGGAACACCAGUGGCGAAGGCGGCUUUCUGGACGAUAACUGACGCUGAGGCGCGAAAGUGUGGGGAGCAAACAGGAUUAGAUACCCUGGUA
RNAcentral lists this ribosomal RNA (437 nucleotides) under uncultured Clostridium sp. Its description in RNAcentral is "partial 16S ribosomal RNA". It matches the Rfam family "Bacterial small subunit ribosomal RNA", at positions 341 to 792 of the family's 1533-position model. Lineage: Bacteria; Bacillati; Bacillota; Clostridia; Eubacteriales; Clostridiaceae. The record is from RNAcentral.